UUCACUACAUGCUCCUGGUGGAGAUGAACUUGAAGUGGCGUUUGAUCUGCCGGUCCCGGUAGCCAGUCUCUGCUAAGCCUGGCUCAUCCCACAUCAAAGGAGACAAUAGUGAAGUCAGAGGAAGAAAAGCUGCCCACACUUCAAAGGGAAUUCCUCCUCCGGAAGUUGUUACAGCCUUUUAAGGAGAGUAAACAGCAGUACAGCUCACGGGACUCACAGUGCUCUGGGCCCAGCAUUUGGAGUCCCCUGCCCUGCCCUCCUGCCAUGGAUUGGCAGGAGGCUAAGCUGGCGGUGGACACGCAGGUCGACAGACCCCUCCCCACCCGUCUAUGGCCCAGUUUUUAUGGACAGAGAGGGGCAGAGACAGGCUGAAACGGGUUGGGGAGUUUCCUGGCACUCUAACUGGCCACGGAGGCGGCUGAUCGGCGCGGACCCUCUUGUGGGCCCUGGGUACCUCAGAUGAGGAAACUGAAACACAUGCUGAACAGGGAUAAGGAAUUCGGUCACGGUCACAUAACUGAGCAGUCCUUUCACAGUGCGCUCCAGGAAGAUGAAGAUCCUCAGCAUCACACCUUACAACCUGGAGAUUUCAUCUAUCAGAAAAGACCCCUCCAGAAGGAUGCUCUUCAAUCUCACUGGAAAGACACUAUCAGGUACUAUAACUAAUCCUGGUGCCACCAAACUCCAGGGAAUAGACUCUUGGAUUCACGUGACUCGCCUGAAGGCAGCACCCAACCCUGACUGGACCUGUACAUCAUCUGGGGACUUAAAAAAGAUUUCCCGAAUUGAAGCAGAUGACAUCUGAUGAGACAGCUUUCCCAAGAUGUCCAGACCAUGCCUGUUAGAAGGUUGGUGGCAAACUUUUGAUGAUGACGUAACACUUCAGAUGAUCUCCCGUGCCCAUGAUCUUGAUAACAUGUGGAAGGACUUCAGAUAAAAAGUCCUGACAGUUCUUCCUUCUACCCCUCCUUGUUACUCAAAUGGGACCUCCAUAGGUUUCCAAUCUAUGCACUUUCCCUCUGACACGGGACACAACACCCAGGAAAAAGUCCUUCCUGGCUUCGAGAGACAAAAGCCUUUUGAAACCAAAAAUAUCUGACUCUUGCUCAACAAUGCUUUCAGAAAAAGAUCUUGAUCAAAAGGGGAAAAUGUGGAAAUUAAUAAACAGAAACCUCAUUAAAAUGGAGUCAGGAGGUCAAAAGGGGGAGCUCUCAUGCCCUACUUGAUAGCAGAGCCCAACAAGAAGAAGAAAGAUUUCCUCUUCUUGAUCACCAAGAAGUUCAGCCAAUUAGAGACUGUCACAGCUCAGCCAAUAAAAAAAACACUACAGGGGCCGGCCUGUGGCUGAGUGGUUAAUUUCCCAUGCUCCACCUCGGCGGCCCAGGGUUUUGCUGGUUUGGAUCCUGGGUGUGGACAUGGCAUCACUCGUCAGGCCAUAUUGAGGUAGCGUCCAACGCGCCAUAACUAGAAAGACCCCCAACUAAAAUAUACAACUAUGUACCAGGGGGCUUUGGGGAGAAAAAGAAAAAAUAAAAUCUUUAAAAAGAACAAAAAAACCUACUACACUUUGAGCUCCCUCCAAUGGACCCUUUGUUUACAACAGCCCCCCCAACUUCCUCCUCCCCUUUAUGAAAGACUUCCUCCUCCCUUUGCUGCUGGGCCCUGGAGCCUGGCUUGCCAUGGCUGCAGACCUCAAAUUGCAAUUCUUUGCUGAUCCUGAAUAAACUCAUUUUUG
This is a long non-coding RNA of Equus caballus (horse), 1735 nucleotides long. RefSeq lists it as uncharacterized. NCBI's taxonomy places the organism in Eukaryota, Metazoa, Chordata, Mammalia, Perissodactyla, Equidae. The record is from RefSeq and is a predicted model, not a curated record.